UAAUAAUAUGUCAUUAGUAUUAUGAUCAGGACAACUUUUACAAUAUGUUUGAGAACUAUGUCAAAGUUGAGGUAGGAAGGUUGAAGUGAAUUUGUCAAAAUCAAAAUAAUACUCGCGCCGAAGUGGGUAAUCAUUUGAUUUUUGUCGAGACUUAACUCAUCAUUAUGUUGGACAACGAACAAUAUUAUUAUUAUCCUUCAUUGAUAAUCGUCGAGACUUAACUCAGCCUUAUGAAGAUGGUAUGUCCAUUGUUCUUAUUUAUGGAAAACCAAACAUCUUCGUUACAAUGAUCUGUAGAUCACUUCUGAACUCCAAGAAAGAGAAGAUCGCCCUAACUUGACUACAAGAAUAUUUCGAUCCAAACUUAUGCAAUUGAUGGUUGAUGUCAUUGAUAAAUGCGCAUUGGGAAAUGUUAAGAACAAUUUUGAUCACGAACUCUGGAGUCUUGUCGGAGUUGUCGGAGUUGUACUGAGCUUGUUUAGGAGGAAUGUAUCUCCUCUUUAGCGGGACAGUUGCAGGAUC
Molecule: non-coding RNA, 522 nt
Organism: Lupinus albus (white lupine)
Lineage: Eukaryota; Viridiplantae; Streptophyta; Magnoliopsida; Fabales; Fabaceae
Source: the annotation of a GenBank genome assembly